CAUUAAAAGAGUGCGUAAUAGCUCACUGGUCGAGUGACCCUGCGCCGAAAAUUUAACGGGGCUAAAUCAUACACCGAAGCUUGGGAUUGACAGAUAUUCUUCAUGUUUUCAGGCAGGAUAGGAAAGAGAGAAAAUCUUAUGACGCCGAAGAAUGAGGCGGCAUUAAAUUUCUGUUCAAGUAAAAGCAUGAAGAUGUGAAGAAUAUCUGUCGAUGGUAGGAGAGCGUUCUAUGUGGGGAGAAGUCUGAGCGGAAGCGCAGGUGGACUGCAUAGAAGUGAGAAUGCCGGAAUGAGUAGCGCGAAAUAUGUGAGAAUCAUAUUGGCCGAAAGUCUAAGGUUUUUGGAGGAAGGUUCGUCCGCUCCAAGUAAGUCGGGAGCUAAGGCGAGGCCGAAAGGCGUAGUCGAUGCACAUACGGUAGAUAUUCCGUAACCGCCGAAGGAUUAAAGCAAAGGGACACCUGCGAAGCGUGUAACCCGGGCGAUGGUUGCCCCGGGCGUAAGGGACCGAAAUUUAGUAGGGAAGUACAUGUAGAGCAGGGCGAGAAAAGCUUUGUGUAUAUCCAAGGCGCCCGUACCGCAAACCGACACAGGUAGAUAGGAAGAGAAUUCUAAGGCCAACGGGAGAAGGGUAGUUAAGGAACUCGGCAAAUUGGUCCCGUAACUUAGGGAAAAGGGACGCUCCAGAGAUGGAGCCGCAGUGAAUAGGCCCAGGCGACUGUUUAGCAAAAACACAGGUCUCUGCCAAAUCGAAAGAUGAAGUAUAGGGGCUGACACCUGCCCGGUGCUGGAAGGUUAAGAGGAGAUGUGCAAGCAUUGAAUUGAAGCCCCAGUAAACGGCGGCCGUAACUAUAACGGUCCUAAGGUAGCGAAAUUCCUUGUCGGGUAAGUUCCGACCCGCACGAAUGGUGUAACGAUCUGGGCACUGUCUCAACUACCCGCCCGGCGAAAUUGUAGUACCGGUGAAGAUGCCGGUUACCCGCGACAAGACGGAAAGACCCCAUGGAGCUUUACUGUAGCUUGAUAUUGGGUUUCGGUAAUUUAUGUACAGGAUAGGCGGGAGACAAGGAAGCCAGUACGCCAGUAUUGGUGGAGUCGUCCUUGGGAUACCGCUCUUAAGUUGCUGGAAUUCUAACCUGCGGCCGUGAAUCCGGCCGGGGGACAUUGUCAGGUGGGCAGUUUGACUGGGGCGGUCGCCUCCAAAAGAGUAACGGAGGCGCUCAAAGGUUCGCUCAGCACGGACGGAAACCGUGCUUUUGAGUGUAAACGCAGAAGCGAGCCUGACUGCGAGGGUGACGGCCCGAGCAGAAACGAAAGUUGGAGUUAGUGAUCCGGCGGUAUGUGAAUGGAAAUGCCGUCGCUCAACGGAUAAAAGCUACCCUGGGGAUAACAGGCUGAUCUCCCCCAAGAGUCCACAUCGACGGGGAGGUUUGGCACCUCGAUGUCGGCUCAUCACAUCCUGGGGCUGUAUUCGGUCCCAAGGGUUCGGCUGUUCGCCGAUUAAAGUGGUACGCGAGCUGGGUUCAGAACGUCGUGAGACAGUUCGGUCCCUAUCUGUCGUGGGCGCAGGAUAUUUGAGGAGCUCUGUCCUUAGUACGAGAGGACCGGGAUGGACGCACCGCUGGUGCACCAGUUGUCACGCCAGUGGCACAGCUGGGCAGCUAAGUGCGGAUCGGAUAAACGCUGAAAGCAUCUAAGCGUGAAGCCGGCUCCAAGAUAAGAUAUCCCAUUCCGUAAGGAAGUAAGACCCCUUGAAGACUACAAGGUUGAUAGGCUGCGUGUGUAAGCGCCGCGAGGCGUUCAGCUUGGCAGUACUAAUAGGUCGAGGGCUUGACCUU
Molecule: ribosomal RNA, 1834 nt
Filed under: gut metagenome
Description: bacterial LSU rRNA
Rfam family: Bacterial large subunit ribosomal RNA
Source: RNAcentral